Molecule: unclassified non-coding RNA, 711 nt
Filed under: Hevea brasiliensis (rubber tree)
Lineage: Eukaryota; Viridiplantae; Streptophyta; Magnoliopsida; Malpighiales; Euphorbiaceae
Source: RNAcentral
GCUUAAUACAAGCAAAGGAUUCAAAUACAAUUACACCUACCUAGCCAAACCCACCCAUGAGGUAGAUCAAGCCCACAAGAAAAGAACCCUAAGUUAACACUAGGUAUUCAAUUCGAAACCUUGACCAGACAAUAAAGAGAAGAGGCAGCGCCGAACGUACGUCGCAAACCCGGAUGCACACCAUCAAUCAUCGAAGACGACUUAUAAAAGCUAGAACUACCAAAAACAAAUGUUAGCUUAAAGGAGAAUCCUUAAAAUGGCGUAAUCUUCCAAGUCUUCAAAUCUUUGGACAGUGAAAAGCAACCGUAAGCCAAUAAAAGGUUAAAAAAAUAUUUAAGUGUCAUUGAAACAGCAGAGAAUGGUGGUGAUAGAGCUAAUUGGCGAUCACUUGCACCAUAUGGGCCAUCUCAACCUAGCGAGAUACCACCAACAUCACAGAUGUAUUUCCUCUCGCCAACCACGACAAAAUCAAAAGCCGAUGCUUAAAGCUUCCUGGAACUUGCAACAACCAAGCAUCACAAGGAAAAGAAAACUCAGAAGUAGCAACUCAAAGAAACCCUCAAAAUUAACUAGACAACUGCAAAUCAAAGUAAAACAUAAUAUCUACACUCCAACAUAGGAGGCAGGGAUAAAACCUGCAUCUAGGUUAAGGGAAGGGAAGCCUUCCCUGUUCGGAAGAGUAGAGGAAUACCAAUUGAGCGUCAAUUGAAA